RNAcentral lists this ribosomal RNA (645 nucleotides) under Triticum aestivum (bread wheat). Its description in RNAcentral is "partial small subunit ribosomal RNA". Lineage: Eukaryota; Viridiplantae; Streptophyta; Magnoliopsida; Poales; Poaceae. The record is from RNAcentral.
AUGGUGGAAUGUUGUUAUAAAAGGUCGCCUCCUGCUUGUGACCGCGCCAUGCCGCCUCACCCCGGCGCCUUCCAGCCGAGAAUGCCAUCUCCACCCGACCAGGUUCACCUCUCUCUCUCGCUCUCUCUCUCUCUCUCUCUCUCGCUCUCUCGCUCUCUCUCGCUCGCUCUCUCUCUCUCGCUCGCUCUCUCUCUNNNNNNNNNUCUCUCUCUCUCGCUCUCUCUCUCGCUCUCUCUCGCUCGCUCUCUCUCUCUCUCUCUCUCUCUCUCUCUCUCUCUCAUGAACACAUCAUUUUAUUCAAACUGGAUGCUAGAGGUAUGUGAUGAUGCAGCAAAUUAUGUGUGUGUGCUUGCGGGUAACUCAGCCGCUUGGCCUUUUCAUGAUUUAAAACAAAAUGGUGUGCUGAAGAGAGACACCUUACUUUGGAUAGAGAGUAAAAUGGAAUCUGCUUGGACUAUGUUUUCCCAUACAGGUUUGAUUCGUAUAUACAUCUCAAGUUGGCUAUAUCUGGAUGGGUUGCAGUUUGCUUCUUUCAAAAAGACGAGGUGUUCUGGAAUGAUUUGCUUAUCUGCUUUAUGCAUGAUCAUCCAUUUUAUAGAUUAUAUAGGAUGUUGGUAUCUUUCUGUACACUGGCAUGAUCUCUAA